GUCAGAGUGGCUGAGUCUGGUUUAAAGCACUGGACUUAAGAUCCAGCAAGCACAUACCCUGUGCUUCAUGGGUUCAAAUCCCGUCCCUGACG
RNAcentral lists this transfer RNA (92 nucleotides) under archaeon. RNAcentral's name for it is "tRNA-Leu". It matches the Rfam family "tRNA". From Rfam's summary of the family: Transfer RNA (tRNA) molecules are approximately 80 nucleotides in length. Their secondary structure includes four short double-helical elements and three loops (D, anti-codon, and T loops). The record is from RNAcentral.